Molecule: ribosomal RNA, 387 nt
Filed under: uncultured bacterium
Lineage: Bacteria
Description: bacterial SSU rRNA
Rfam family: Bacterial small subunit ribosomal RNA
Source: RNAcentral
AUUGAACGCUGGCGGCAUGCCUUACACAUGCAAGUCGAACGGCAGCACGGGAGCAAUCCUGGUGGCGAGUGGCGAACGGGUGAGUAAUAUAUCGGAACGUGCCCGGUCGUGGGGAUAACGUAGCGAAAGCUACGCUAAUACCGCAUACGAUCUACGGAUGAAAGCGGGGGAUCGCAAGACCUCGCGCGAUUGGAGCGGCCGAUAUCAGAUUAGCUAGUUGGUGAGGUAAUGGCUCACCAAGGCGACGAUCGUUAGCUGGUCUGAGAGGACGAUCAGCCACACUGGGACUGAGACACGGCCCCAGGACUCCUACGGGAGGCAGCAGUGGGGAAUAUUGGACAAAUGGGCGCAAGGCCUGAUCCAGCCAUACCGCGUGGGUGAAGAAGG